RNAcentral lists this ribosomal RNA (399 nucleotides) under uncultured fungus. Its description in RNAcentral is "eukaryotic LSU rRNA". The record is from RNAcentral. Lineage: Eukaryota; Fungi.
AGAGUUAAACAGUGCGUGAAAUUGUUGAAAGGGAAACGUUUGACACCAGUCAUGUGGGUGGAAAAUCAGUCUUUUGCAUUGGGGAGUUGUAAGGGUUCGGACCGCAAGGCCGGCUUUUGCUUCAUCUUUGGUGUAAGUGAUGCACUUUUUCAUCUACAGGUCAACAUCAGUUUCUUUUGCUGGACAAAACUCCGAGAGAAGGUAGCUGCUUGCAGUGUUAUAGCUCUGGUUCAUGAGACGUCCGAGACCGAGGACUGCGGUACAUGCCUUUGGCUGGAUGCCCAGUAGCUGUUUGCUAGCGCUUGGUGGACUGCUUGCAGACCACUAGUCGUUUAGUAGACACCCUAUUGGAACAUCACAAAUGUGCCUAGGAUGUUGACGAAAUGGUUUUAAAUGACC